AUGGACCAUUCCAUCCCUUUUUCCCGUGCAUAUGCAUCGGACUCGGAUGACGAUGGUCCCGAUGAACAAGUUGAUGCGGAGGGGUUCACGGUGAAGGAGGCCGAAGCUUUCGAGAAGGUAUUUGGUUGGGAUCAUCGGACUACAUUGUUCAAGGAUGUUAGUCUCGCGGAUGAAGCCGUGGUAGAUGGUGGCCAAUGUGUACCUCUUGGGGUUAGGCCAACCUCUCAC
RNAcentral lists this ribosomal RNA (228 nucleotides) under Triticum aestivum (bread wheat). RNAcentral's name for it is "partial small subunit ribosomal RNA". Lineage: Eukaryota; Viridiplantae; Streptophyta; Magnoliopsida; Poales; Poaceae. The record is from RNAcentral.